This 479-nucleotide long non-coding RNA is filed under the name Sus scrofa (pig). Its description in RNAcentral is "lncRNA (ENSSSCG00060073012.1)". Lineage: Eukaryota; Metazoa; Chordata; Mammalia; Artiodactyla; Suidae. The record is from RNAcentral.
GUAGCUCAACAGAGUAAGUUGAAAUUGCGUUGUGAAAGCUGAGGUUGAAAGGUUGAGCUAAAGAGCUUUGUUUUUUUUAAAUCGUACAGUCUGCCGGAAAUCACUGAGGGUUUCUGUAUUGUUGAAUGAUGCGAUCUGCCUUCCUUUGGGAAGAUAACCUUGUCCUGGGAUUAGGAAGAGGAGGAAGAGCUCUACACCCACCUGAUCUGGAAGGGGAGCUCUUCCAGGCCUCUGACUUGUGAAGACAGACACUGCAGAGGACUUUUUGCUGAGAAAAGAAGCUGAAUGAAGGGAUGGAUGUCUUUAAAAGGUAAACACAGACUUUGACAGAGGAAUUGAUUUGGAGAGGGCAGAGCAGCUCCCAAGGCAGAUCAGCACACAUCAGGCAACCCUGGGAGUUGCUGGCAGCCCAAACACCAGGCCAAUCAGCAUCUCUUCUGGAGUGGAUGGGAGAGGCAUGAAUAAUGCUGGGACGGAAC